RNAcentral lists this ribosomal RNA (433 nucleotides) under uncultured bacterium. RNAcentral describes it as "partial 16S ribosomal RNA". It matches the Rfam family "Bacterial small subunit ribosomal RNA", at positions 29 to 507 of the family's 1533-position model. The record is from RNAcentral.
AACGAACGCUGGCGGCAUGCCUAACACAUGCAAGUCGAACGAGACCUUCGGGUCUAGUGGCGCACGGGUGCGUAACGCGUGGGAACCUGCCCUUAGGUUCGGAAUAACUCCCCGAAAGGGGUGCUAAUACCGGAUAAUGUCUUCGGACCAAAGAUUUAUCGCCUUUGGAUGGGCCCGCGUUGGAUUAGCUAGUUGGUAGGGUAAAAGCCUACCAAGGCGACGAUCCAUAGCUGGUCUGAGAGGAUGAUCAGCCACACUGGGACUGAGACACGGCCCAGACUCCUACGGGAAGCAGCAGUGGGGAAUAUUGGACAAUGGGCGAAAGCCUGAUCCAGCAAGGCCGCGUGAGUGAUGAAGGCCUUAGGGUUGUAAAGCUCUUUUACCCGGGAUGAUAAUGACAGUACCGGGAGAAUAAGCUCCGGCUAACUCCGUG